This is a non-coding RNA of Phialocephala subalpina, 74 nucleotides long. NCBI's taxonomy places the organism in Eukaryota, Fungi, Ascomycota, Leotiomycetes, Helotiales, Mollisiaceae. The record is from the annotation of a GenBank genome assembly.
GGUUAGAUGGCGCAAUUGGCUAGCGCAGAUCCUCCUUAUGGAUUUGGUUUCAGGUUCGAGUCCUGAUCUGACCG